This 503-nucleotide ribosomal RNA is filed under the name uncultured bacterium. Its description in RNAcentral is "partial 16S ribosomal RNA". It matches the Rfam family "Bacterial small subunit ribosomal RNA", at positions 29 to 523 of the family's 1533-position model. The record is from RNAcentral.
AACGAACGCUGGCGGCGUGUUUAAGACAUGCAAGUCGCACGGGACUAUUUGAGUAGCAAUACAAGAAUAGUCUAGUGGCGCACGGGUGAGUAACACGUGAAUUACAUGCCCUGCAGAGGGGGAUAGCACAGGGAAACUUGGAUUAAUACCCCAUGGUAUCGCGAGAUUAAAGGUGGCCGCAAGGCUGUCGCUGCAGGAUUGGUUCGCGCCCUAUCAGCUUGUUGGUGAGGUAACGGCUCACCAAGACUACGACGGGUACCUGGUCUGAGAGGACGAUACGGCACACUGGAACUGAGAUCCGGUCCAGGAUCCUACGGGUGGCUGCAGUCGAGAAUAAUGCACAAUGGGGGCAACCCUGAUGGUGCAACGCCGCGUGGAGGAUGAAGGUCUUCGGAUUGUAAACUCCUGUCAUCCGGGAGUAAGACCUGGCGAUGAAUAGUCGACAGGGUUGAUAGUACCGGAAGAGGAAGGGACGGCUAACUUCGUGCCAGCAGCCGCCGUAA